CAGCAGCCGCGGUAAUACGGAGGAUCCAAGCGUUAUCCGGAUUUAUUGGGUUUAAAGGGUGCGUAGGCGGACCCUUAAGUCAGUGGUGAAAGUUUGCAGCUCAACUGUAAAAUUGCCAUUGAAACUGAGGGUCUUGAGUGUAAAUGAGGUAGGCGGAAUGUGUUGUGUAGCGGUGAAAUGCUUAGAUAUAGCACAGAACACCAAUUGCGAAGGCAGCUCACUGGGAUACAACUGACGCUGAGGCACGAAAGCGUGGGGAUCAAACAGGAUUAGAUACCCUGGUAGUCCACGCAGUAAACGAUGAAUACUAACUGUAUGCGAUAUACUGUAUGUGGUACAGCGAAAGUGAUAAGUAUCCCACCUGGGGAGUACGUUCGCAAGAAUGAAACUCAAAGGAAUUGACGG
Molecule: ribosomal RNA, 405 nt
Filed under: uncultured bacterium
Lineage: Bacteria
Description: bacterial SSU rRNA
Rfam family: Bacterial small subunit ribosomal RNA
Source: RNAcentral